This 755-nucleotide long non-coding RNA is filed under the name Marmota monax (woodchuck). The record is from RNAcentral. Lineage: Eukaryota; Metazoa; Chordata; Mammalia; Rodentia; Sciuridae.
CUGAGAGUGCCCUGGGCCUGGAGACCAGCUGUGGGUGUGUGUAUCAGAGGAGGAGGGUCCAGCCGGUCCUGCGCUCCUGCAGCUUCGGCUCAGUCCAUUCAGUCCCCGAAUCAGCUCUGACAGGGCAGGGCGUGGCUUGGAGGGUGCCAGGGAGGACUCAGGUGUGGCUCUAUCAAAGCCAGUUGCUCCUGUUUUCAACUACAUUCCCCUCUUGGCUGGCGCUUCAUGAAACAGACUAGAAUUAAUGUCUCUCACCUGCAUUUCCAACUGCCUUUCAGGGUCAUUGAGGAUGAAUUUAGAUGACGUCAGGCACGAGGCAUGGGAGCCUGUGCAGUUACCCUGGUGUCUGGGCUUUCCUGUUUCCUAGGGUUGAGCAAGGAGGUUGGGCGGGUGUGAGGACACCUGGACGCUCCCAGUCCUGGAGCCAUGCUCUGCUCCUCAGACAGAGCCCAAGGCUCUGUGACUAGGGUGACCAUCAUGGGAGAAAAUUGCUGUGGGAAGACCUCAUGGCCUGUGUCCUGUGCCGGGGCUCGCGCAUGUUCUCUGGUGUGUGGUCCUCUCUGUCCUAAACUUCUCUGAAGUUUAGUUUUUUGGAAGAUGUUCUCAAAGCCAAAGACCCGUUUUCUAUCUACUCUGGUAACGUACACAUGUCAGCUUUUUAAAGAAAAUGCUCUUUAUCAUCAGCCAAUGACAUUUUGAUAGGUCGUCGGAUACAGGAAGCUCACGGGUGCUGCCGAAGGCACUGCCACCACUAG